This 1429-nucleotide ribosomal RNA is filed under the name metagenome. RNAcentral's name for it is "bacterial SSU rRNA". It matches the Rfam family "Bacterial small subunit ribosomal RNA". The record is from RNAcentral.
AGAGUUUGAUUCUGGCUCAGAACGAACGCUGGCAGCGUGGAUUAGGCAUGCAAGUCGAACGGCGGCGGGGAGUAGCAAUACGACCCGCCGUAGUGGCGGAAGGGCGAGUAAUGCAUGGGCAAUCUGCCCUCAAGCUGGGGAUAACUUGGCGAAAGUCGAGCUAAUACCGAAUGCGGCCCCGGGGGACAUCCCCCGGACGCCAAAGACGGGGAUCCGCAAGGACCUGUCGCUUGGGGAGGAGCCCAUGUGCCAUCAGCUAGUUGGCGGGGUAACGGCCCACCAAGGCUUACGGCUAGCUGGUCUGAGAGGACGACCAGCCGCACUGGGACUGAGAUACUGCCCAGACUCCUACGGGAGGCUGCAGUCGAGGAUCAUUCGCAAUGGGCGCAAGCCUGACGAUGCGACGCUGCGUGGAGGACGAAGGCCUUCGGGUCGUAAACUCCUGUCAUGAGGGAAAAAGGUCUUCCGGGCUAACAUCCCGGGAGCUCGAUGGUACUUCAAGAGGAAGCCACGGCUAACUCUGUGCCAGCAGCCGCGGUAAUACAGAGGUGGCGAGCGUUGUUCGGAUUUACUGGGCGUAAAGGGCGCGUAGGCCGUUGCGUGUGUCGAGUGUGAAAUCCCCGGGCUCAACCCGGGAAGUGCGCUCGAAACUGCGCGACUUGAGCAGAGGAGGGGAGAGCGGAAUUCAUGGUGUAGCGGUGAAAUGCGUUGAUAUCAUGAGGAACACCGGUGGCGAAGGCGGCUCUCUGGAAUCUUGCUGACGCUGAGGCGCGAAAGUCGGGGGAGCAAACAGGAUUAGAUACCCUGGUAGUCCCGACCGUAAACGGUGCACACUGGGCGUGGGGGGUAUUCACCCCCUCCGUGCCGCAGCUAACGUGUUAAGUGUGCCGCCUGGGGAGUACGGCCGCAAGGCUAAAACUCAAAGAAAUUGACGGGGGCCCGCACAAGCGGAGGAGCAUGUGGCUUAAUUCGAUGCAACGCGAAGAACCUUACCUGGGUUUGACAUGUACCUGCACGUCCCGUGAAAGCGGGAUUCCUUCGAGGGUGGUACACAGGUGCUGCAUGGCUGUCGUCAGUUCGUGCCGUGAGGUGUUUGGUUAAGUCCAGCAACGAACGCAACCCCUGUGCUUAAUUGCCAGCGCGUAAUGGCGGGCUCUUUAAGCAGACUGCCUGUUUACACAGGAGGAAGGUGGGGACGACGUCAAGUCAGUAUGGCCCUUACAUCCAGGGCUGCACACGUGCUACAAUGGCCGGUACAAAGGGACGCAAGACCGCGAGGUGGAGCAAAUCCCCAGAGCCGGCCCCAGUUCAGAUUGCAGUCUGCAACCCGACUGCAUGAAGUUGGAUUCGCUAGUAACGGCGCAUCAGCUACGGCGCCGUGAAUACGUUCCCGGGCCUUGUACACACCGCCCGUCACAUCAUGAAAGCA